Molecule: transfer RNA, 76 nt
Filed under: Candidatus Woesearchaeota archaeon
Lineage: Archaea; Nanobdellati; Candidatus Woesearchaeota
Description: tRNA-Lys
Rfam family: tRNA
About the family: Transfer RNA (tRNA) molecules are approximately 80 nucleotides in length. Their secondary structure includes four short double-helical elements and three loops (D, anti-codon, and T loops). Further hydrogen bonds mediate the characteristic L-shaped molecular structure. tRNAs have two regions of fundamental functional importance: the anti-codon, which is responsible for specific mRNA codon recognition, and the 3' end, to which the tRNAs corresponding amino acid is attached (by aminoacyl-tRNA synthetases). tRNAs cope with the degeneracy of the genetic code in two manners: having more than one tRNA (with a specific anti-codon) for a particular amino acid; and 'wobble' base-pairing, i.e. permitting non-standard base-pairing at the 3rd anti-codon position.
Source: RNAcentral
GGGCUCAUAGCUCAACCUGGUUCAGAGCGUCCGACUCUUAAUCGGAAGGUUAGGGGUUCAAAUCCCCUUGGGCCCA